GUGGUCUGGCCAGCCACCUAUAAAAGGGCGCCAAGUCGGUGGAAGGAUGAUAUUUUGCUUCCAUCUUCAGCCAGAGGUGAGUCCAACACCCUCCCUAGUUGACUUUCAUGAUCUUGCUCAAAUCUUGUAAGGUUUUGAAGAGUUUUCAUGUGUUUUUGAAGGUUUUGAGAGUUUUGAGCAAAAGAACCAAGUUUUGAAGUUUGGAGAGUUGUGAGGAGAUUUCUCCAUAGCUCCACGUUAGGAUCACUUGAUCUCUUGUUUGGAAGAGGUAAGUAAAGAUCCAGAACCUCUUUUACUGAUUUUUGAAGGUUUUAUGGGAGUUGUAUGGAUAGUAUGUAUGAAUAGGGUUUUGGUUGAGGUUUUGCAUGAUUUUGUGUUUAAGCAUGUUUAAGUGUUGUUUGAUAUGUUUCUUGGGGUUAUAAGUGAGUUUUAGGCCCUUUUUAUGCAUGUUUUAUGGUAUGUGCUAGUUGGGAGUAGUUGAUAUGCAUGUUGGGUAAGUUUGGGGGAAAGGUUUGCAUGAAACAGAGCAGGGUUCUGCCCAACGGGCAAACCAGGUUCGGCCGCCGAAGGAAGGUUCGGCCGCCGAACCCCUUGUGGAGGCAGUUUCGGCUGCCAAAGCUUGCCCCCGAAAGCUAGGCUUUCGGUUUAGAAAGGGACUUUCGGCCGCCGAAAGAGGGUGUUUGGCCGCCAAAAGCUUGUGAGUUUCGUCUCUGGACGAGACCUUCGGCCGCCAAAGGUGCCGCCGAACAUGCAUGAGUUUCGUCUCUGGAGAGGGGUUUCGGCCGCCAAACCUGCCGCCGAAAGUGCCCUGUCCAGCUUUCUUUUGCAUGUUGUAUGUGAUUGUUUGGGGAUCGUUUAGAGGGUUUUUUGGGGAGUUUCUUAGAGAUGUUCUUGAGUUAGUUUGGUCCCUCAUUUGAGUCCACCUGUGUAGGUACGGACCAGAGGAACCCCAGAGAG
RNAcentral lists this long non-coding RNA (957 nucleotides) under Manihot esculenta (cassava). RNAcentral's name for it is "long non-coding RNA (MESC_LNC005337)". Lineage: Eukaryota; Viridiplantae; Streptophyta; Magnoliopsida; Malpighiales; Euphorbiaceae. The record is from RNAcentral.